ACGGGAGGCAGCAGUGAGAAUUUGGUCAAUGGGCGAGAGCCUGAACCAGCCAUCCCGCGUGCAGGAAGAAUGCCCUAUGGGUUGUAAACUGCUUUUUCUCAUGAAGAACACCUCUGACGUGUCAGAGGCUGACGGUAAUGCGUGAAUAAGCACCGGCUAACUCCGUGCCAGCAGCCGCGGUAUUACGGAGGGUGCAAGCGUUAUCCGGAUUUAUUGGGUUUAAAGGGUGCCUAGGCGGCUAUUUAAGUCAGUGGUGAAAUCCUGCAGCUCAACUGUAGAACAGCCAUUGAAACUGAAUAGCUUGAGUAAUCUUGAGGUAGGCGGAAUGUGUAGUGUAGCGGUGAAAUGCUUAGAUAUUACACAGAACACACCGAUUGCGAAGGCAGCUUACUAAGGAUUUACUGACGCUGAUGCACGAAAGCGUGGGGAUCAAACAGGAUUAGAUACCCCUGGUAGUCCACGCCGUAAACGAUGAUAACUCGCUGUUGGCGAUACACAGUCAGCGGCUUAGCGAAAGCGUUAAGUUAUCCACCUGGGGAGUACGCUCGCAAGAGUGAAACUCAAAGGAAUUGACGGGGGCCCGCACAAGCGGAGGAACAUGUGGUUUAAUUCGAUGAUACGCGAGGAACCUUACCUGGGCUUAAAUGUGCUGUGACCGCCCGGAGAAAUUUGGCUUUUCGCAAGAACAGAGUACAAGGUGCUGCAUGGUUGUCGUCAGCUCGUGCCGUGAGGUGUCGGGUUAAGUCCCAUAACGAGCGCAACCCUUAUUGUCAGUUGCUAACAGGUCAUGCUGAGGACCCUGGCGAGACUGCCACCGUAAGGUGUGAGGAAGGUGGGGAUGACGUCAAAUCAGCACGGCCCUUAUGUCCAGGGCUACACACGUGUUACAAUGGCCAGUACAAAGGGCAGCUACCGGGCGACCGGAUGCUAAUCUCUAAAGCUGGUCUCAGUUCGGAUCGAAGUCUGCAACCCGACUUCGUGAAGCUGGAUUCGCUAGGAAUCGCAUAUCAGCCAUGAUGCGGUGAAUACGUUCCCGGGCCUUGUACACACCG
RNAcentral lists this ribosomal RNA (1052 nucleotides) under uncultured Prolixibacter sp. Its description in RNAcentral is "bacterial SSU rRNA". It matches the Rfam family "Bacterial small subunit ribosomal RNA", at positions 341 to 1392 of the family's 1533-position model. The record is from RNAcentral. Lineage: Bacteria; Pseudomonadati; Bacteroidota; Bacteroidia; Marinilabiliales; Prolixibacteraceae.